CCUACGGGAGGCAGCAGUGGGGAAUUUUGGACAAUGGGCGCAAGCCUGAUCCAGCAAUGCCGCGUGAGUGAAGAAGGCCUUCGGGUUGUAAAGCUCUUUUGUCAGGGAAGAAACGGUGGAGGCUAAUAUCCUUUGCUAAUGACGGUACCUGAAGAAUAAGCACCGGCUAACUACGUGCCAGCAGCCGCGGUAAUACGUAGGGUGCAAGCGUUAAUCGGAAUUACUGGGCGUAAAGCGUGCGCAGGCGGUUUUGUAAGUUUGUCGUGAAAUCCCCGGGCUCAACCUGGGAAUGGCGAUGAAGACUGCAAGGCUAGAAUCUGGCAGAGGGGGGUAGAAUUCCACGUGUAGCAGUGAAAUGCGUAGAGAUGUGGAGGAACACCGAUGGCGAAGGCAGCCCCCUGGGUCAAGAUUGACGCUCAUGCACGAAAGCGUGGGGAGCAAACAGGAUUAGAUACCCUGGUAGUCCACGCCCUAAACGAUGUCUACUAGUUGUCGGGUUUUAAUUAACUUGGUAACGCAGCUAACGCGUGAAGUAGACCGCCUGGGGAUACGGUCGCAAGAUUAAAACUCAAAUGAAUUGACGG
This 584-nucleotide ribosomal RNA is filed under the name uncultured bacterium. RNAcentral describes it as "bacterial SSU rRNA". It matches the Rfam family "Bacterial small subunit ribosomal RNA", at positions 338 to 916 of the family's 1533-position model. The record is from RNAcentral.